CGCAGAUGCAACUCAGAUCUGGCGUUGCUGUGGCUCUGACGUAGGCCAGCAGCUGUAGCUCCAAUUAAAACACCUGGCCUGGGAAACUCCAUAAGCCGCAGGUGCAGCCCUAAAAAAAAAAGAGAAGAAAUUAAAAUUUUAAAAAUUAAUUUUGAAUAGUGUAAAUCUCAGUAGAUAUAACACACAAAAAUGAAAGCUUGCUGGGGGCCUCUAUAAUUUUUUAAGUGUGUCAGUAGCGCCAGAGACCAAAAGUUUGGGGACCGUUCAUGUGACAGGCAGAGCCCUAGGCUUGGAGACCACCUAGACCGGACUUCAAUACCAGCCCCAUUCUUCAUUAGCUGGUUGUGAGCUUUGGGCAAGUUCCUUAAUUUUUCUGAACCUCCGUUUUCUCAUCUGUGACCUGGGAGCCUAGGGGUUCCCAUCGUGACUCAGCAGUAAUAAACCCAACUAGUAUCCAUGAGGAUGUGGGUUUGAUCCCUGGCCUCGCUCAGUGGGUUGGGGAUCCCGUGUGGCUGUGCGCUGUGGUGUAGGUCGCAGAUGUGGCUCGGAUCCAGUGUGGCUGUGGCUGUGGCUGUAGCUGUGGCUGGCGGCUGCAGCUCUGAUUUGACCCCUAGCCUGGGAACUUCCAUAUGCUGCAGGUACAGCCCUUAAAAAACAAACAAACAAACAAACAAAAAAACCAACAGAAAUGGGAGCCUAAUGGCCUCAUCAGAGAGUGACUGUGGGAAUGUCAGCUCACUCCCUGGAACUGUGGUCUGUGGAAGGUGCUGCUGGUCCUGCAGGCGAGCUGGGGGUGGUGUGCAGGUGCUCAUGGGGGACGUGGUGAGUGGACACUGCCACUUGGAGGGGGGAUCCCAGCCUCCCCCACAAGGUAAAUAUGUGAGGAUUGGGAAAGUUGGUCAAAGGAAAGGAAUUCAGUUUGUGAAACAGCUUCAAAGGGGAUCGGAGGCAAUGUGUUUUGCCUUUGAUUAUUUUGAUUGUAAUCACGUGGAGUUUUGUAAACUUCUGGGUAGCGUCUCUCUGUUUCUCUUAUGAAUGGACAGAGAGGCCUUCUCAGGGUGCCCAUAGCUGGCCCUUGAUGGGCUCACUCAGGGGAGAUGGGCACUGUGUCUGCUGGACACACAGCUCUGGAUGUGGCUUCUGACAGGUUCAACGGCCUGAGGGUGCCAAGUGGGAACCAGGCGUUAGUGGCAACCGGAUAUCUGAGGUGGGGCCUCCCUGCCAUGCAGUCCAUCUUGGGGCAGCAAAAUUGCCCCUCCAGCAAAAUUCAGCCUCUCGUGGUGCUGAAUUUCAGCCGUAUGAGAUUUCUUUGGUCCAUGGUUCUGAUUUACCAGAAAGCUACCAAUGUGUGAAAACCAGAAUGACCUGUCACCAGCCCCUAAUGCCUCAGGGUGGCCUUAUUUAUUCGAUAUCAGAUAGCAGGGCUUUGGGGUCACUGGCAGAAGACAGCUAAGUUUUGAAUGUCACAGGCCCUGCUGAGUUUCCAGCCUCUAUGUCCUUGUUCUUCUUUACCCAGGAGCCCCUUGGACCCAGCCCUGGUGUUGGGACUGCUCCUGAGCACUCCUCUUGCAUGUGAAAGCAUGCUAGUUUUUGUACAAGUUGUGUGGCCUUGGCUACCUCAGUUCACGUGUUGGAGCCUCAUUUUUACCAUCUGUAAAAUGGGUACAUACAUGCACACCCGCCCCCCACACACAGUGAGGCCUAUUUUCUAGAAUGGGAAUUCAGCUAAUGACAAUGUUUAUAAAAUGCCUGGCUGUUCCUAGGGGCUCAGCAGAUGAACACAUGGAAGACGUUAUUUAUUUAUUUAUUUGCUUUUUAGGGCUGCACCUGCAGCACAGGGAGGUUCCCAGGCUAGGGGUCGAAUCGGAGCUGUAGCCACUGGCCUACGCCAGAGCCACAGCAACUUGGGAUCCAAGCCGUGUCUGCAACCUACACCACAGCUCACGGCAACGCCGGAUCGUUAACCCACUGAGCAAGGGCAGGGACCGAACCCGCAACUCCAUGGUUUCUAGUCAGAUUCGUUAACCACUGCGCCGCGACGGGAACUCCAGUUAUUGGUUCUUAACUCUCACUUCAGUGAGGAGUCUUCUCCCUGCCCCGGGGCGCCUUCAGUUGUGAGUGUGUGUGUGUGUGUGUGUGUGUGUGUGUGUGUGUGUGUGUGUUGGGGGUGGGGGUGGCAGUCUGGGGA
RNAcentral lists this long non-coding RNA (2188 nucleotides) under Sus scrofa (pig). Its description in RNAcentral is "lncRNA (ENSSSCG00035029959.1)". Lineage: Eukaryota; Metazoa; Chordata; Mammalia; Artiodactyla; Suidae. The record is from RNAcentral.